Long non-coding RNA from Lynx canadensis (Canada lynx), 2871 nucleotides. RefSeq lists it as uncharacterized. The transcript has 2 exons. NCBI's taxonomy places the organism in Eukaryota, Metazoa, Chordata, Mammalia, Carnivora, Felidae. The record is from RefSeq and is a predicted model, not a curated record.
ACCCAUGAACUAUGAGAUCACAACCUGAGCUGAAAUCAGACGCUAAACUGACUGAGCCACCCAGACGCUCCUCUAGCUACAAUUUUAUAGCUGACAUGCCUUUUUCAUUGUCACCACUUAAAGGGCAGUGAGGUCUUUAUUUGGGAAAAAGUAUAUAGGCAAAUUAAUGAAAGAUAUAUACUUACAAAAAUUAAAAAAUAUUAGCAUGUUCAUCAAAGGAGGAAAAAUGUGUUCUUUUAACGGUUUACUAGUAAAGCUGUUGUACAGAGCCGCAAUUUUUCUUCCUAGUGUUGAACAGGAACGUGGAAUAGAUCUGAAAGAUAUUGUGAAGCAAAAACAAGGUGUUGAAAAUCAGUCCAAGUUUUGUCUUGGUGUGGUUUUUCUCUUAACAACCAAAUAGAAUUUCAGAGACUAACACUGGGAAUUACAGGUGACUUGGCAUUAAAGCAAAAUGUUUUACAGAAUUGUAGGUCAUUAGGACAGAUCAGGACUGGGCACUAAGGAGAAUAGGAAAGGAAGGCAAUAAAUCAAGGCCCCAACCAGCUGCUGAAAAAGCCCAGGUUUCACAGAACAGAAGUGGGAGGGGGCAUGAAUGCACCAGGGUCAGGCCCGUUCCCCCAGUGCAUCCCCAAAGAAGACCAAGGCUGGACCCCAAAGUCAUCAGGAAAUAGGAUGCAGGCUACUAACAGGUGCCACAGUCUUGAUCACAUCACGAUUUAGUGCUGUAUGUGUUAACUAUUAUUAGUCUAAAGCAGUGCAUGAAAAAUCAUCAGAUUCCCCAGUCUUCUGGCUGGGUCUUAAGAAGAAAUGAGCCAAUGAAAGAAAAAUCCCCACUUCUGACGUGACAUCCCAGGUAAGAGUGGCUGUGAGGAGCAGGGUGGGGAGCAGGGGAGUACCUGGAGGUUGUUGCUGCAUCAGGGCGGGGGCCUGGUCAGGAAAUGGGACACAGCAGGCCAUACACAUUUUGUUUAUUCUACUGUUUGUUCCCAUGACACAAACCACCCAAACCAGGAGCCAUCAGCAGACAAGUUAGUUAGGACUUGUCCAUGAGGGGUCACUAAUGCCACCUCGGUCUCGAGCCACAUCUCUUAUGAGGGUUGAAUGCCUCCUACCUUUGAGAAAUGAGGGACACAGGAAGUCAGUGUCACCACUUCCUGCUUCCAGUUUUUAUCCACAUCAUCCAUUAAAGAAAUCCCUUUCCCUCUUUCACACUGUCAACGUAAAGGACUGCUCAGUGUAAUCAAAUCAUGAGGUUGUGGGACUGGAAAGCAUUUUGGAUGCACUGUUUCCCACCCCCCCCCCGCUCCCCCCUGAUUUCUCUGCUAGACCAGAGCAUUUUAAAAGAUAGCUGUUGUUACCUGCAAUUUGCAAAUGAGGAGACUGAAAAGUUUAAGUUCCCCAAUGCCACAGAGCCAAUGAAUGGCCGAGUCACGUGUACCCAGGUCGGUGUGACCCCAGAGUUCUAUGAAGAUGUCCAAUGAGCUGUCACAGUCCCAGUGAAUGCUGCUUGCCAUCCACACAGGCACAAAUGAACCUCAAGAACAAGGCUGGCUUCUGGCAACAGAAUUCAGUCCUUAGAGGAAGUUGUUUCAGGACCACCCCCACUCCCGCCUUCUCCCCUUCUGCACCCUUGGCCUUUCUUAGGGUCCAUUCUUCCUCCCACACUCUUCUCCCUUCCUGUUCCUGUGUCCUCAAGGAGACUUCUGACUCCAAAGUCAUCAAAGAAAGACCUCUAAAAAGAAAUUCUCCCUCGUAUUAAUACUAAAAAUUCAGAGUGCUUAUAUGUCUAGAAGAGGCAUGAAGGGAGAUCAUGCAUCGCCAAUGAAUUUCCAGAAAUUCUGCAGGCUGUGGAAAAGAGACGUGGGCUAAGUGUAAUGGGUAGCCCUCCAAGUAGCAGGCAUAGGCAACUGCCUACGCCUAAAAUCAGCAAGGAGAAAAUGAAAAUGAUUGUUUCAUAAUACUUUAAAAUAGCCUGCAUGAAGGAGGUGGGAAGGAGAGGACAUUGUUGUUCUGAUUUUAGAGAUAAGAAACCAACACCCCAAAGAAGCCGCUUUGAGCCCCAGAUCAAGUCCAGACGGGCAGAACGGAACACAGCUCAAGGCACUUCUGUGAGAAGCACUGCGGGAAGAGAACAGAGUGACCAGAUCCCUCGGAGCAUCAAUAAUGCACAGCAACUUCUUUUAACUAGGGGUUGUCAAUUUGACUUCCCCAAGAUCAGCGGGGGAUCAAAAGUCACCAGUGGCUAACAGACCUUAUUUGAGUGGAGGAUGCAAUUUCAGCCCAAUCCCCGCUAACGGCCAGCCACAUCAAACAGCCACCUUGAUGCUUUGGUGUUCUUUCGCCUGCCCUUUGAUCAGCUGUGGCUGUAACUGCACAGCAUCCCACAGGGGCCACAGAACCUAACUGGAUCAUUCUUACCUUGGAACCUGAGUUGCUGCAGGGCGAAUCAUUCAUGUUCACGCUCAGAGGCACCAGCUUUAGGAAGCCCAACUCUAACCCCAUUUGGCAAGACAGCUAUUCCAAAUAGUAAGACAAUGCCACACAGGCGUCCCAUGUACCCAUUCAUUCAGCCAACAUGAAUUGAUCACCGAGCACCUAAGUUAUACUUGUGUUCUCCUCCCUUCUUUCCUCCCAACCAAAUCCUCCCCUCCCGUCAAUCCACUCAAGGGUUUCUUCUUUGUUGAAGCCUCUCUCUGAGAUAGACCUUCCCACGGUGACCUUCCCUCUCUUUUCACCCCUCCCACUAAUUAUAAUUGGUCCUCAGUUUGACCUGUAAUUGUUCUCCAGUUGUUUUCCCACUAUCAGUCCUGCGUUCCCACUGACGAGAACCACAUGGCAGAUAGUGCUGUUUUUACGGUGCUCCCUGUCUAG